AGAGUUUGAUCCUGGCUCAGAUUGAACGCUGGCGGAAUGCUUUACACAUGCAAGUCGAACGGCAGCACGGGAGCUUGCUCCUGGUGGCGAGUGGCGAACGGGUGAGUAAUGCGCCGGAACGUACCGAGUAAUGGGGGAUAACGCGGCGAAAGUCGCGCUAAUACCGCAUACGCCCUGAGGGGGAAAGCGGGGGAUCGCAAGACCUCGCGUUAUUCGAGCGGCCGACGUCUGAUUAGCUAGUUGGUGGGGUAAAGGCUCACCAAGGCGACGAUCAGUAGCGGGUCUGAGAGGAUGAUCCGCCACACUGGGACUGAGACACGGCCCAGACUCCUACGGGAGGCAGCAGUGGGGAAUUUUGGACAAUGGGGGCAACCCUGAUCCAGCCAUUCCGCGUGAGUGAAGAAGGCCUUCGGGUUGUAAAGCUCUUUCAGCUGGAGCGAAACGGUACGCUCUAACAUAGCGUGCUACUGACGGUACCAGCAGAAGAAGCACCGGCUAACUACGUGCCAGCAGCCGCGGUAAUACGUAGGGUGCGAGCGUUAAUCGGAAUUACUGGGCGUAAAGCGUGCGCAGGCGGAUUGUUAAGCAAGACGUGAAAUCCCCGGGCUUAACCUGGGAAUGGCGUUUUGAACUGGCAGUCUAGAGUGCGUCAGAGGGGGGUGGAAUUCCACGUGUAGCAGUGAAAAUGCGUAGAGAUGUUGGAGGAACACCGAAUGGCGAAAGGCAGCCCCCUGGGGAUGACACUUGAACGCUCAUGGUACAAAAGCGUGGGUUAGCAAAACAGGGAAUUUAGAAUAC
RNAcentral lists this ribosomal RNA (798 nucleotides) under uncultured Thiobacillus sp. Its description in RNAcentral is "bacterial SSU rRNA". It matches the Rfam family "Bacterial small subunit ribosomal RNA", at positions 8 to 786 of the family's 1533-position model. Lineage: Bacteria; Pseudomonadati; Pseudomonadota; Betaproteobacteria; Nitrosomonadales; Thiobacillaceae. The record is from RNAcentral.